GAAAUGCGAUAAGUAGUGUGAAUUGCAGAAUUCAGUGAAUCAUCGAAUCUUUGAACGCACAUUGCGCCCUUUGGUAUUCCAAAGGGCAUGCCUGUUCGAGCGUCAUUUGUACCCUCAAGCUCUGCUUGGUGUUGGGCGUCUUUGUCUUCCCAGAAGACUCGCCUUAAAGUCAUUGGCAGCCGGCCUACUGGUUUCGGAGCGCAGCACAAGUCGCGCUCUCUUCCAGCCAAGGUCAGCGUCCACAAAGCCCUUUUUCAACUUUUGACCUCGGAUCAGGUAGGGAUACCCGCUGAACUUAAGC
RNAcentral lists this unclassified non-coding RNA (301 nucleotides) under plant metagenome. Its description in RNAcentral is "partial contains 5.8S ribosomal RNA, internal transcribed spacer 2, and large subunit ribosomal RNA". The stretch from base 1 to 105 matches the Rfam family "5.8S ribosomal RNA", at positions 50 to 154 of the family's 154-position model. The record is from RNAcentral.